GGGAACAGAGGGAGCAUGUUGGGCCCAGAAGGGCCCAAAGGAGACCGGGGCAAGACUGGUCUCCCUGGUUUUACUGGUAAUGAUGGCUCACAUGGCCACCCUGGAGCAGGCGGUGAGCCUGGUUGCUGGGAGCUGAUGGCUGUAACGGGACAAGGGGUCGACCAGGAGUCGAUGGUAUUCCUGGUUUUGGUGGUCUCCAUGG
This is a long non-coding RNA of Gymnodraco acuticeps, 202 nucleotides long. RefSeq lists it as uncharacterized. NCBI's taxonomy places the organism in Eukaryota, Metazoa, Chordata, Actinopteri, Perciformes, Bathydraconidae. The transcript is spliced from 3 exons. The record is from RefSeq and is a predicted model, not a curated record.